UACAGAGGGUGCAAGCGUUAAUCGGAAUUACUGGGCGUAAAGCGAGCGUAGGUGGCUUGAUAAGUCAGAUGUGAAAUCCCCGGGCUUAACCUGGGGACUGCAUCUGAUACUGUUAGGCUAGAGUAGGUGAGAGGAAGGUAGAAUUCCAGGUGUAGCGGUGAAAUGCGUAGAGAUCUGGAGGAAUACCGAUGGCGAAGGCAGCCUUCUGGCAUCAUACUGACACUGAGGUUCGAAAGCGUGGGUAGCAAACAGGAUUA
RNAcentral lists this ribosomal RNA (257 nucleotides) under uncultured prokaryote. RNAcentral describes it as "partial 16S ribosomal RNA". It matches the Rfam family "Bacterial small subunit ribosomal RNA", at positions 524 to 780 of the family's 1533-position model. The record is from RNAcentral.